RNAcentral lists this ribosomal RNA (264 nucleotides) under uncultured bacterium. RNAcentral's name for it is "partial 16S ribosomal RNA". It matches the Rfam family "Bacterial small subunit ribosomal RNA", at positions 793 to 1055 of the family's 1533-position model. The record is from RNAcentral.
GUCCACGCCCUAAACGAUGUCAACUAGUUGUUCGGUGAGGAGACUCAUUGAGUAACGCAGCUAACGCGUGAAGUUGACCGCCUGGGGAGUACGGCCGCAAGGUUAAACUCAAAGGAAUUGACGGGGACCCGCACAAGCGGUGGAUGAUGUGGAUUAAUUCGAUGCAACGCGAAAACCUUACCUACCCUUUACAUGUCAGGAAUCCUUGAGAGAUUGAGGAGUGCCCGAAAGGGAACCUGAACACAGGUGCUGCAUGGCUGUCGU